UACGAAGGGGGCGAGCGUUGUUCGGAUUUACUGGGCGUAAAGGGCGCGCAGGCGGCUUAUUUUGUCAGGCGUGAAAGCCCCGGGCUUAACCUGGGAACUGCGUUUGAUACGGAUGGGCUAGAGUUCGGGAGAGGAGAGUGGAAUUCCCAGUGUAGAGGUGAAAUUCGUAGAUAUUGGGAAGAACACCGGUGGCGAAGGCGGCUCUCUGGACCGAUACUGACGCUGAGGCGCGAAAGCGUGGGGAGCAACAGG
RNAcentral lists this ribosomal RNA (252 nucleotides) under uncultured bacterium. RNAcentral describes it as "partial 16S ribosomal RNA". It matches the Rfam family "Bacterial small subunit ribosomal RNA", at positions 524 to 775 of the family's 1533-position model. The record is from RNAcentral.